Molecule: ribosomal RNA, 1309 nt
Filed under: uncultured bacterium
Lineage: Bacteria
Description: bacterial SSU rRNA
Rfam family: Bacterial small subunit ribosomal RNA
Source: RNAcentral
GACGAACGCUGGCGGCGCGCCUAACACAUGCAAGUCGAACGAGCGAGAGAGAGCUUGCUUUCUCGAGCGAGUGGCGAACGGGUGAGUAACGCGUGAGGAACCUGCCUCAAAGAGGGGGACAACAGUUGGAAACGACUGCUAAUACCGCAUAAGCCCACGGGUCGGCAUCGACCAGAGGGAAAAGGAGCAAUCCGCUUUGAGAUGGCCUCGCGUCCGAUUAGCUAGUUGGUGAGGUAACGGCCCACCAAGGCGACGAUCGGUAGCCGGACUGAGAGGUUGAACGGCCACAUUGGGACUGAGACACGGCCCAGACUCCUACGGGAGGCAGCAGUGGGGAAUAUUGCACAAUGGGGGAAACCCUGAUGCAGCGACGCCGCGUGGAGGAAGAAGGUCUUCGGAUUGUAAACUCCUGUUGUUGGGGAAGAUAAUGACGGUACCCAACAAGGAAGUGACGGCUAACUACGUGCCAGCAGCCGCGGUAAAACGUAGGUCACAAGCGUUGUCCGGAAUUACUGGGUGUAAAGGGAGCGCAGGCGGGAAGACAAGUUGGAAGUGAAAUCUAUGGGCUCAACCCAUAAACUGCUUUCAAAACUGUUUUUCUUGAGUAGUGCAGAGGUAGGCGGAAUUCCCGGUGUAGCGGUGGAAUGCGUAGAUAUCGGGAGGAACACCAGUGGCGAAGGCGGCCUACUGGACACCAACUGACGCUGAGGCUCGAAAGUGUGGGUAGCAAACAGGAUUAGAUACCCUGGUAGUCCACACCGUAAACGAUGAUUACUAGGUGUUGGAGGAUUGACCCCUUCAGUGCCGCAGUUAACACAAUAAGUAAUCCACCUGGGGAGUACGACCGCAAGGUUGAAACUCAAAGGAAUUGACGGGGGCCCGCACAAGCAGUGGAGUAUGUGGUUUAAUUCGACGCAACGCGAAGAACCUUACCAAGUCUUGACAUCCCUUGACGAUGCUGGAAACAGUAUUUCUCUUCGGAGCAAGGAGACAGGUGGUGCAUGGUUGUCGUCAGCUCGUGUCGUGAGAUGUUGGGUUAAGUCCCGCAACGAGCGCAACCCUUAUGGUCAGUUACUACGCAAGAGGACUCUGGCCAGACUGCCGUUGACAAAACGGAGGAAGGUGGGGAUGACGUCAAAUCAUCAUGCCCUUUAUGACUUGGGCUACACACGUACUACAAUGGCGUUAAACAAAGAGAAGCAAGACCGCGAGGUGGAGCAAAACUCAGAAACAACGUCCCAGUUCGGACUGCAGGCUGCAACUCGCCUGCACGAAGUCGGAAUUGCUAGUAAUCGUGGAUCAGCAUGCC